UUCACUGGCCAGCAGUUGCAACCACACGAUGUUGCAAUUUUGCACAGUCACCUUAAUCGCGAUACAAUCCAAGCCCCGAACGGGCCGGGUUUAACCAGUUGGCUUGAUGGAAUUGCCAGCAUAAUGCCAGCAUCUUAGCCUUGAGGGAUCCUCAGGUCAUGCGGCGGUAACACAGCGGAACCCCAUCCGCCCAAAACACAUGGCCCAUGUGGCAAGGCUCCGGACAGGCCAGGAUCGGGAUUCGGUGGCGGUAUCAAACCGAGGCCAACAGAAACCCGAUCGGGUACAUCUGCCAACUGGCGUGGAUGCGCCCGUACAGGCGCCGGAACACGCGCGACAUGAAGCCGCGCUGCUCCAGUAGCGCAUCGGUGUUGGCUUGCUCAAUGUCCGUUUCCGCCGGCGCGUGUGCGCUUCAAUGCCCGCAGCAGCAGGAUGAGGAUGCGCAGGUUGACCAGACCAAUCACAGUCAGGAACAGGGCCGAGACCACGGUGCCGACCACGCCGCCCAUGCCGCGCAUCAGCGCCAUGUGCGAUUCGGUUUCCCGGGCCGCCAGCGCGAGCCCCAGCGACAGCAGAAUCACCACCGUCGAGUGACCGAGCGAGAAAAACAGACCGACGCUGCCGGGGCGCUGGCCAUCCUGGCGCAGCUUGCGCGUCACGUUGUCGAUCGCGGCGAUGUGAUCGGCAUCGAAGGCAUGGCGCAGGCCAAAGAAAUACGCCAUCGAGCCGAUGCCGAACAGGGCGGCG
RNAcentral lists this ribosomal RNA (747 nucleotides) under uncultured bacterium. RNAcentral's name for it is "partial 16S ribosomal RNA". The record is from RNAcentral.